RNAcentral lists this ribosomal RNA (1414 nucleotides) under uncultured bacterium. RNAcentral describes it as "bacterial SSU rRNA". It matches the Rfam family "Bacterial small subunit ribosomal RNA". The record is from RNAcentral.
AGGGUUUGAUCAUGGCUCAGAACGUACGCUGGCGGCACGCCUAACACAUGCAAGUCGAACGAAGUAGCAAUACUUAGUGGCAGACGGGUGAGUAACAUGUGGGUAUCUGCCCUUUGGCCUGGAAUAACACGAGGAAACUUGUGCUAAUACCGGAUAAGUCUUUACGGAGAAAGCUUUAUGCACCAUUGGAUGAGCCCGCACUUGAUUAGUUUGUUGGUGGGGUAAUGGCCUACCAAGACUGUGAUCAAUAGCUGAUUUGAGAGGAUGAUCAGCCACAUUGGGACUGAGACACGGCCCAAACUCCUACGGGAGGCAGCAGUGGGGAAUCUUGCACAAUGGAGGAAACUCUGAUGCAGCGAUGCCGCGUGAGUGAAGAAGGCCCUUGGGUUGUAAAGCUCUUUCGUCGGGGAAGAAAAUGACUGUACCCGAAUAAGAAGGUCCGGCUAACUUCGUGCCAGCAGCCGCGGUAAUACGAAGGGACCUAGCGUAGUUCGGAAUUACUGGGCUUAAAGAGUUCGUAGGUGGUUGAAAAAGUUAGUGGUGAAAUCCCAGAGCUUAACUCUGGAACUGCCAUUAAAACUUUUCAGCUAGAGUAUGAUAGAGGAAAGCAGAAUUUCUAGUGUAGAGGUGAAAUUCGUAGAUAUUAGAAAGAAUACCAAUUGCGAAGGCAGCUUUCUGGAUCAUUACUGACACUGAGGAACGAAAGCAUGGGUAGCGAAGAGGAUUAGAUACCCUCGUAGUCCAUGCCGUAAACGAUGUGUGUUAGACGUUGGAAAUUUAUUUUCAGUGUCGCAGCGAAAGCGAUAAACACACCGCCUGGGGAGUACGACCGCAAGGUUAAAACUCAAAUGAAUUGACGGGGACCCGCACAAGUAGUGGAGCAUGUGGUUUAAUUCGAAGAUACGCGCAGAACCUUACCAACACUUGACAUGUUCGUCGCGACUCUAAGAGAUUAGAGUUUUCGGUUCGGCCGGACGAAACACAGGUGCUGCAUGGCUGUCGUCAGCUCGUGUCGUGAGAUGUUGGGUUAAGUCCCGCAACGAGCGCAACCCUCACUUUUAGUUGCCAUCAUUAAGUUGGGCACUCUGAAAGAACUGCCAGUGAUAAGCUGGAGGAAGGUGGGGAUGACGUCAAGUCCUCAUGGCCCUUACGUGUUGGGCUACACACGUGCUACAAUGGUAUCUACAACAGGAAGCAAGACUGCGAGGUCAAGCAAAUCCUUAAAAGAUACCUCAGUUCGGAUUGCACUCUGCAACUCGAGUGCAUGAAGCUGGAAUUACUAGUAAUCGUGGAUCAGCGUGCCACGGUGAAUGCGUUCCCGGGUCUUGUACACACCGCCCGUCACACCAUGGGAGUUGGUUCUACCUUAAGGCAAGGUUUCAAACCCUUGACCACGGUAUAGUCAGCGACUGGG